GCCCGCCUAGCUCAAUCGGAUAGAGCGUCAGACUCUUAUCCAACUAGUGCGGACAAUCUGAAGGCUGGGGGUUCGACCCCCCCGGUGGGCU
RNAcentral lists this transfer RNA (91 nucleotides) under Crucibulum laeve. It matches the Rfam family "tRNA". Rfam says of the family: Transfer RNA (tRNA) molecules are approximately 80 nucleotides in length. Their secondary structure includes four short double-helical elements and three loops (D, anti-codon, and T loops). Further hydrogen bonds mediate the characteristic L-shaped molecular structure. tRNAs have two regions of fundamental functional importance: the anti-codon, which is responsible for specific mRNA codon recognition, and the 3' end, to which the tRNAs corresponding amino acid is attached (by aminoacyl-tRNA synthetases). tRNAs cope with the degeneracy of the genetic code in two manners: having more than one tRNA (with a specific anti-codon) for a particular amino acid; and 'wobble' base-pairing, i.e. permitting non-standard base-pairing at the 3rd anti-codon position. Lineage: Eukaryota; Fungi; Basidiomycota; Agaricomycetes; Agaricales; Nidulariaceae. The record is from Rfam by way of RNAcentral.